Ornithodoros turicata is the source of this 3653-nucleotide long non-coding RNA. RefSeq lists it as uncharacterized. NCBI's taxonomy places the organism in Eukaryota, Metazoa, Arthropoda, Arachnida, Ixodida, Argasidae. The record is from RefSeq and is a predicted model, not a curated record. The transcript is spliced from 3 exons.
AGACACUCACACAACUGAUAUCCGCAGUUAAAUGCUUCGAAGCCAACGUGUGACCAUGAACCUAUUCGUUCUCGUGGCUCUUACUAUUUGCUUGGUUUCAGCGGAUCGUCCCAAUGCCUGCUACAUGGCUCCUGCUAAAGGCCCGUGCAAGGCAAAAAUCACGAGGUUCUACUUCAAUCCAAGAUCUCUGGAUUGCCUGAAAUUUAUCUACGGAGGAUGUGGGGGAAACGGCAAUAAUUUUGCCACAUGUCAAGCAUGCAUGAAAACGUGUAAAUAAUAUUACGCACAGCACGGCAGCCUGAGCUAUCGCAUAGCAAGGUGUCACAUCCUUGAGAAGCAGGAGCCGUACGAGGAGGACCUCGGUCGCUGCAUCAUUCAUCUGCACAUUGACAUCACUAGAGCUAUUAUCAUUAAAUAUUGCUGCCAUUCUACUACAUGCUUUCAUUUUAAUGCGUUAGCAUUGGGAGAGUCAAAAUAGAAAAAGCUGUGUGUGUGGUGUGUGUCUGCGUAUGAGAUGAUGAAGCCUCACCGAGACAGAAGUAUAAGUGGACAUGUAAAGGGCAUAUAAGAGGGUAAACGUAAAUGGAAGUAGUUGAAGGCAAUUAAGAGUAAGAGCAAUUAAAAGUAAUUAAUGGUAAUUAAGGGCAUUUAAAGCAACAAACGUUGAGUUUCAAGGUAACGAAUUUAAGAUAUAUGCAAUUAAGAGAAAGAUUAAGUGAAAUUAAAGAUUACCGAAGGUAACCGCGAGUUACAGGAGGUAAUUAAGUAUAAUUAAAGGUAAUUAACGUCAAUUCAAGAGAAAGUGACAGUAAUUAAAGGGUAAUUCAAACUAAUUGAGGCUAAUUAAAUGGUCAAUGGUCAGAAGUCAAGUAUCGACUGGAGGUUGACAACCAGAAGUCAGGGGAGACCGGAAAUCUAGAUCCGGAAGAGGCGCUUCAUGCUUACGCAUUUCUCUCGCAUUUUCCGCUAAAUCACCACUAAAUUUUUAUUUCUACUACUCAAUCUCAAAGCCAUAGCCCUAGAAAGGAAAGCUUGUAGCAGACUCCUCUAAGCACUAGUUACAUCGCGGUCACCCGAGAAAGAAGAAGCGAUCUAUCAAAAAAUCCAGACUGAUCUUGGUAUAGCAAGCAUGUGGUCAGCCUGCUGCACGCUCCCUAUUUGUUCCUCGCUAGUAUGGGGUAUAUGCUGUACGAUCCCGUUAUGUUGGGUCUGACUUUUUCGGGCACAGUGCCUAUCCAGGACUCGGGGGUGGGUAGGAAGUUGGGUGUUAUUCUUAGAUCUGUAAUUCGUGGUGGAGGUGCAACUGAUACGUUCGUGUGCUAUCUGGCAAGCGACUCGCAGUUAAAGCCCAUAUAUUAGUCUAACAUGCGUACCUUGUGAUUUAUAGUAACAUCGCUACUUGUUUUUACAUCGACAACAACUUUAUUUCAGGACAUUCAAUGGGGAAUUUCAUCGCCAGGGGCGACACUCUACCCAUUGCUGGUGAUGACGUGAGGGACGAAAUAAUGUUAUUCGCAUAGUUUACUAUUGUAGUGAAAUAGUAUCUACAUUAUACAUUCGUGCAAAUUGCCGCCAAAUACCGUAAAUAAUGCACCGGCCUCGGUGGCUCAGUCGGUAGCGUGUUCGCCUUCUGGUCCCAAGAUCGCGGGUUCGAACCCGGCCAAGGACGCCAGCAACUUGGAGGCAGCGUACAAGUUGCUUAAACACGCCGUCUUCCACGAGGCACGGCGGUUAAAUACGGGGUGCGAUGUGGGGAGUUUUCAUCGCACGUUAAAGAACCCGCAGGUGGACAAAAGACACUGCUCACACAGACCGACUGCUCUGGCAUGGCUCAUGAUCUCAGUUGUCUCGCGACGUAAACACCCAUAAACCCCCAAUUAUUAUUGUUGUUGUAAAUAAUACGUGGCAGAGACAACAUGACGUUGUGUCGUUUUGUUACAGCCUACCUUACCUACUUGACUUUGCGACACGCCUUAUCAAUUUCUCCGGCGUAGACUAGACCACUUGUAGCAUUGCUUCGUUUGCUAUCCUGUUCAGGUGUGUGAUAGGUGUGAAGGCUUUGUUAUAUUUGUGUACGCUUGGUUUUGUCAUCAAUGCUCUAUAUCUGCAAUCCAUCUGUUGUCAUAGCGACUGAUACGAUAUUGUGUAUCUGCUGCUUUGAAGCCAGUUCUAGCUCUUAUUGUCGAAACCAGACGUUCACUUGCGUCUCAUUGCUUGAAGUUGCAUACCGUCAGAUUACUGCACCCAGCUGUAAUGUCCGCCGUACGUUCCACCCCUCCACCGUCUUUGGUAUUGGAGGAGAUUUGUCAAGAUUGCGGAGGUUCCUUCAUCGACCUCUGGAGGUCCAUCACCGCAGAAGACUUCAUCUGCAGGAGCUGCUUGCUCACUAACGAACAACGUCCUCCUGGAGACCUCUUGCUGUGCCCUGGUUCAAAAUUUGGUUGUAAAUAUCAGACUGGUAUCGCUCGCAACUGCGUGGACCACCUCCGGACCUGCCCUAGACGCCCCACGCAAUGCCCCAACGAGUGUUUUUCCAUUAUCCCUAACACCGACUUGCCAAGACACUUGACGGAGGAAUGUCCCAGACGUACUAAGGAAUGCCGUUUCUGCCACGGAAACUAUUUCGUCUGCGAGAUCGGGAAUCACUUCAGGGACUGUCAGGAUUACCCUGUCACGUGUCAGUACUGCAGCCAAGAGAACAUCAGACGAGGCAGCUUAGAGGAACAUGGCGCCGGUUGCCGCAAAACACCGAAGCUUUGCAAGAUGGCCUCUUUGGGAUGUACAUUCAAGGCAGGCGAUGACGAAAUGGAACGUCAUAUGACGCUCGAGAAACAUACGUUUUGUAUGCAUGAGAUGAAGGUGCAAGUGAACAGCCUGGAAGUGGAAAUCCGCCAGGUUCGUGAAGAGUGCAAUCGUGAGAAACAAGAACGACAAAACCAAGAGGAAGUACACCAGAAAGAGCUCAGAAUUCAAGACGAGGAAGUGAAGAGGCUUCGGAACGAGGUUGAAGCACUGCUGCGGCAAGUCGGACAACCGUUUGAUAAUCCGUAAGAUGAACUUCUCUUAGUGACCGACAGAUUAGCGAUGCAGCCCAAACUACACGCUGUUUGUUUUUCAAUGGUUUGUUCUUUUCUAUAACUAUACGAAUAAGGAACUGACAGUUAGGUUCUUAGGUUGUGUUUUAGCGUAACAUAUCCAUGUGCUUCAAGGCAGAAUAUAUUUCAUUUGGUUUCAAAAACGUUGCUCGCGUGUAUUCGAAUACCAAGCAAAAUGACCUGUGUGGAUUUGCUUCAAGUGUUUUCCGCAAAAGCCCUUUAUAUUAUGGUAUCAUAUUAUUCCGUGAUGCUCUCUUUGUAUAAUUGUAUUCCCAAAACUCAGAUAAUGCUUUUCCCAAUGUAUACCCACUGGCUUGCGUUCUAUUCCUAUCUUCGCAUGUUAUAGGGCCUGUCAUACACGUUUGAGACAAUAUUCUCUUCCUUGUCGCUUUCGAACACUAUACUGUGGACGUUUGCCGAAUAAUACGUGGUAUGUUUCACACAGGGGAAGGCAGUAUGUUUUUUUUUUUUUCAAAUACUUUUUAGGUGUGUGUAUUUGUGAUUUGUAUUAUAACAUGUUAUGAUGUAGAAUACGAAAUAAAUUGUGGAAACAUAAUA